GAAAUUUAUAAUAAUAAAAUAUUAUUAUUCACGAAGCCAGGCGAGCUAAAUCCUAUUUUUUAUUAGCAAAUGAUUGUUAGUGUAUCAAUACUAAUAUAAUACAAGAAUUUAGGGGCGAAAGGCCUUUCAAGUCUGUCAAUAUCUUGAUUGUAAGUAAAGGUAUUUAGUAUAGAAUUAACCUAAAAAUGAUAAGGUUUUUAGGGUUCAUAAUUUUAAACUUCUGAUUAACUGAAUGUGUAAAAAUUCCUGUUUAAAUUAAGUAGAACAUAGAUUGUUAAAAAUAUAUGUAUAUUACUUAUAUUUUUAAAUUGACAUAGAUUUUAAACUAAAAAUGAUUUCAUUAGUAUUUUACUUAUUUUUUUUUAAGGAACUCGGCAAAAAUUUUUCUCGACUGUUUAACAAAAACAUUGCUUUAAGUUAUUAUUUCAAGUUUACCCUGCUCAAUGAUACUAAUUAAAUAGCCGCAGUACCCUGACUGUGCAAAGGUAGCAUAAUCAAUUGGCUUAUAAUUGAAGUCUAGUAUGAAUGGGAAUCCGGGAAUAAGCUAUCUAAAAAAAAUUCUUAGAACUUACUUAAUAAGUGAAAAUUCUUAUAUUUAGAAAAAAGACGAGAAGACCCUAGAAAUUUUUAAUAGAACUUUUGUAUAUUACAUAAAAUAUUUUGUUGGGGCGACAUGGUAACAUUUAUUAUAUGGAACUUACCAAAAAAUUUUAAGGAAUUAUUUAAUAGAAUACAUAAAUUACUCUAGGGAUAACAGCAUAAUUUAUUAUUAAGAUUUUGACCUCGAUGUUGGACUAGGAAAUUAUUUACUUAAAAGGUAAAUAAGAAAGCUCUGUUCGAGCUAUAUUUACCUACAUGAUCUGAGUUCAGACCGG
RNAcentral lists this ribosomal RNA (875 nucleotides) under Circassina frutis frutis. Its description in RNAcentral is "partial 16S ribosomal RNA". The record is from RNAcentral. Lineage: Eukaryota; Metazoa; Mollusca; Gastropoda; Stylommatophora; Hygromiidae.